This 94-nucleotide microRNA precursor is filed under the name Sorghum bicolor (sorghum). RNAcentral describes it as "MIR5387 microRNA precursor family". It matches the Rfam family "MIR5387 microRNA precursor family". Lineage: Eukaryota; Viridiplantae; Streptophyta; Magnoliopsida; Poales; Poaceae. The record is from Rfam by way of RNAcentral.
UUGUAACACGAACCGGUGCUAAAGGGUCCCUGCCCCGACAGCACCUGUCAGUUGCCGUUGGGCAGGACCCUUUAGCACCGGUUCGUGUUACGAA